Non-coding RNA from Paramuricea clavata, 3396 nucleotides. Lineage: Eukaryota; Metazoa; Cnidaria; Anthozoa; Malacalcyonacea; Plexauridae. The record is from the annotation of a GenBank genome assembly.
UGAGCAUAGAAUAAGAAAUGAAUAGAAGGGCAACUCACGUGUGCAACGCGUCCGUAAAUUUUUAUGCGCAUGCGUGAGGUCCGCCAUUACUCUGGCCAGUAACUGGCUGCUGGCGUACUAUAGAAUAUAUAGCGAAAGAAGAUAUUUUGGCUGGAAAAUCGCGUUUUUUGACCAUGUUUAUCAACGAAUGUGGGAAUUUUGUACAGAAAUCGAAAUAUAUAAGGUAAGACAUAACGACUGGGCCGUCUACAGGAAUUUAGAUACUUUUCUCGAGCAAAAAUCACAUUUUAUACAACAAUGUUUACAUGCAGCGAUACAAUUAUAUUUUGUGUGAAGUUUAUAUGAAUAUGAACACUCAUCUGAGUCAAUUGGCUAUCCUCUUCCUAAUAUUUCUUAGCAUUUCUUAUCAUUAUUGUCAUAAAAUAACUGAUAACCAUUUGUAUUUCGGAAAGACAUUGAGGUUUUAUUUAUUAAUUUGUGUUUUGACUCGAACACGGCCGCUAUGCCACUUUACUUUUGAACAUAAAUAGUCGAUGUCGUGGAUAAGAAAUUAUUUGUAAAAAGCAAAAACAAUCAUGUUACUAUGAUAAAAGACAUUUGCUGAGCGAAAUAGUGCUUUAAUAGUAAAACUGCAUGUCGAUCCAGAUCCUAAUGAAGAAUGAUUUCUGUUUCGUUCUUAUAUGCAGUGAUUACUUUAGGUUCAAAUUAUAAAUUAGGUUUCAUGGAGUUACCAGGAAUUUUGAGAUGCAUUUUUUGUAAAGUGUCAAUAUUUGCAAGGUUUAUAUUUGAUUGCUGCCCUACUACAUGGGUUUUUAAAUUUUAUUUAAAUUUGUUUACUUGUCACCUACAGCUGCUGACCUUGCUAUCACUUUGUUUUCUUUUUAGUUUCAUUGCAGCUGAUCAUCCUGUUUGCUUCUUUCAUCUCAAUACCCAUUGUCAAUACCAUAUUGCUCAUUGAUUUAUGUAUGAAUAGCAUUAAUAUAAUAAACAUAGCAAUUGUAUAACAGCUAUAAUAACUAAAUGUAUCAUAAUAUAAUAUUUGUGGUGUUACUCUGAGUGUACUGUAUAUCCACACCGGGCGAGCUUGAAAAAUAUGCCCGGCCACGGUGGGAUUCGAACCUACGACCUUCGGAAUACUAGCCCAAUGCUCUUCAUUCGAGUAAGUGAUAUUUCGGAACAGAAUCUAGUUCCUUCGAUACCAAUGUAUUCUACCACAAUAUUCACCACAUAUUCACCACAUCACACCACAUAUUCUACCACAUAUUCACCUGAGUACACUACACCAACACAGAAUGGUAUCAUAUUUUUAAAACUUAGUAAAUGAAUGGACUAUUUUUGUAUAGUAUUAAAUGAAAUAACAUUUGAAUAUGAGAAGAUACAAUUGAUUUGUGACUUGUGUUCAUGAUUUUAAUAUUUACAGUGUGCAUUUUGUGUCCUAAAUAAAAAUGAUACAUACAGUGGUGUACACAAUUUGGUCUGAAAACUGCACUUAAAUGUCAUAAUAUAUAUCAUGGUGAUGCCCCCACUUGCAAUACAGUGUGUAUAUAUUUACUUUAAAACCUCAGGUUCACCAACUUAAUUAACUGAGGGUUCAACCUGGAAUCCAGGAUUCCUAUAACCACCUGAAACACCUGCAUUUAAAGGGCUUGUUCCUGUCACAUGCGUUUCUUCUGCGAUAGUUCGAAGUAUUUCCAGUGCUUUUCUGCUCAUUACAAGUGUUUUUAAAAUAUGAGUAGUAGUAAAACAAAGCAGAAAGGGGGUAGCAGUCAUACUGCUUGGCAGUUAAUUGCUCAAAUACCAAAGGAUCGCAUCCUGAACUAAGUUUUUUUCGCUUCCCGGCUAUAUAUAGCAAAAGGUAGGUCCACGGUUUCCGUAAAGACAGAUGAAAAAAUUUGAAUGUUUUCUGCUGCUUUGUAUAUCGAUAAAAUAAAUAAAUGCAUUAUACACACUGUAUGAAUGAAUUUAUUUUGUUCAAAAAAGUAUUGAAAUUACAAGAUGCAAUAAUUACUACAUACUGUAAAGUGUACUUCGGAAUUUUAUAUUUAUACAAUGUCAAUAAAAAUCACUUAAUUAGUCUCCACUUAUGAAAAUAAUUGGGCAGAACAUAAUUAGGAAGAAAGUAAUUAGGAAGAACAAAUAGAUGCCCUACUCCUACCUCCUGUGCAGGCCUUCCAAGAAAAGUGGUGGGAAACAAAAAAGCCUUCGUCUCAAAUUUCAACCUGUGAACGGGCAUACUCAUUACGAGCUGUAUGGCCUGCGGAGGAGGUAGAUAGACUUCUUUUAACAUGGUAUGUUUAAGUUUGUUGCAAGUAAUGACAGCCUUUUGUUUGUGUUCAUUUGGUAAACAAGCGUUACCAUUGUUUUCUGCCCAAUACGUAAAUUAUCGUAUUCAUUCAGUGCUCAUAGUGUCUAUUGUUGGCCAUCAUUUUUGUCCAAUAACUUGUUAGGUUGCUGUACAUAUACAGGUUUGUAAUAUCAUGACAUACAAUGUUCCUCACAUCCAUAUGGUAGAUUGGAAACAAAUACAGUAAUUUAAUAAUACAUGGCAGAUUCCAUCCCGACCCAUUGCAUUAGAUGUAAUAUAUCCAUACAAUCUUGUAAAUCAGAAUUCUUGUUUUAAUAAAAAUACAUUUUGAUCAAUUUUCUGUUUACACAAAGUGCCCUGGUGUUGGAGCCAACAUUUUGACGAUGAUCAAAGCCAUUCCCAUCACCUUCCAAUGGCAAUGUGAGUGCGAAUAUACUCCAGCAUAAAAUUUGCCAACAGAGACUUAGCCACAUCUAAACCAAAGGAUAGAAAAUCACACAUCUUUAAAUAACACCAAGGCCACACAUCUUUAAAUAAUAUACUGGACAUGUGUUAACGCUGCUCUGGUUUACAAGACUAAAUAUAGCCUUAAUGGCUUAAUUAAAUGACUAAAGUUACUGUUCGCGAGCCAAACAUUUAGACACUCUUAUUAAUAGUUUAGGAUAUUGAGGCGCAAUAAGGAUGUCCAUUUAUGAUUUGUUAUUCAAUCACUGCUAAAGAUAGACAGAAAACAUCGAAACUUAAAACUAUAUUAAAACUACUGUCUGUGCUAUUGUACGGAUAGGCGAUAGCUACUGGGUUCGGUUCUCCAUGAACAAUAUCGAAGAAAAAAUGCGCCUACGAGCAUUUACUUUGACUUUUAAAUAAAUAAAUUGAAACUACAUACCUUCUCCUUGAAUGCUCUGGUCAUUAAAACCAAAAUUUUGAACAUAAACUCCCACGGUAUGCUUUUAAAACGAAAAUAUAACCCUCGCUCAAUACAAUUUAUAUUUAUUCUGGCAGCAAGUUACUGGCCAGAGUAAUGGCGGCCGUCGAAUUUCCGGUAUGCGCGACACGACAUGCGCGAGGACACCGACUUCAAAGGAUCCGAC